Molecule: long non-coding RNA, 1619 nt
Filed under: Homo sapiens (human)
Lineage: Eukaryota; Metazoa; Chordata; Mammalia; Primates; Hominidae
Description: HSALNT0228904
Source: RNAcentral
GAGCCUGGUGGUUUCUAUCAGGAACAUGGGCACUUUCAGGCUGUUUGGGUGAAGGUAAGCUGCACUUUUCCAGAGGCAAAGGGACAGGAUCUAUGAAAAUGUUGUUACAUUCACACCUUAGAGAACCUCUCCCUUCAGGGAUCUAUACUAUAAGGCACUCCCCCAAGCACCUCCAAACCAGAAAUUAUGUAAAUGUCCAAAAAAGGGAAAUGAUCAAAUACAUCCAUGCAAUAAAUUGUAAUGUAGCUAUUAAGACUGAGGCAUAUUUAUAGAAACUGAUAUGAAAUGCAUCACAGAUAUAAUAUGAAAAGGUCAUGCUGGAGUGCGGUUUAUAAAUUAAAAUCCUGUUUGUGUAACAAGACACAGGAAUGUACCACUACAUGUAUACAAAAAAAGCAAAAAAGGAACGUUCAACCUUGUUUUUAGGGAGUGGCACUUUGCACUUUGUUGUAUGUUUCUCCAUGGAUCAAAUUUUGCUUAACUUCAAUUAUAUGGUUAUUAGAAGGGAAAACAAAAACAAACGGCAAAAACCUCAUGUUCUACUACUCCUAGUCCUUAAAUAAACCUCUUUUCAGAUGUCUUGGCCAAAGCAGGUAUUUUCCUACGACUUAGGAAAAGAAGUAAAAUGAGAAAAGGGAAGCAGCACAUUAAACUUUUUUUGAGACAGGGCGAGAGGCUGUCUUAGAGCACCAUUCUCUGGCCCUUGUCCCAUGAGAAGGAACCGCACUCAGGAGCCACACUCUCCCACUCCCCUUGCCCAGAAGACUCACAGAGGGCACGGAGCUGGCUGUGCUGAGAGGAGGUCCAGCAAAUUCCUGUCUGCAGAAGGGUUCUGAACACCACCGCCUGGCAGCGUGCUGGAGGAGGGAUUCCUCUUUUCCUCACAGCAAUUCUGACCAGAAACCUGUCAAAUCAGGAAUGGCUAAAAUAAGACCAGGGUAUGAAUGACCAUCAGCCACAGUAAAACCAAGGCACAGCUCUCCUGAGCCCACCCAAGCUGCUGUGGCCCAGACUGGUGACAUCUCUUGGGGCAAGAGGGGAAAGAAAGGGCAAGAUCACAUGCAGCUCCUGGGCAGACCUCCAGGAAGCAGGAGCCUGGUGCAACCUGUCUCCCCCAGGUAUCAGCCAGACAGUAUGGGUGAGGAAGAGGCUUUGGACCUCCAAGGCCAUGAUCCCACCGGGACAGUGCAGGAGCACCUCUCUGCUCGCCAGGCAGUGCUGCCUCACAAGGGCAGGUCUGAGACCCUCCCAUUCUCUCUCCGGGCCCUGGGAAGGGCAUCCUUACCAUGCCUGUAACAGGAGCAUCACUGAUUCCUGUAAGAAAGGAGUAGAGUGAGAUGCCUAACAGUAACUCCACCUGCUUCCAGAUGAAGAGUAAUGCCACACCCAUCCUUUCUAGGACAUCCAGAAAGUCUAGACAAAUAAGCAACUUACUGAAGGUCAUGUGACUCGUCCAUGGCCAAUCUGUGACUAAUAUGCAAGGGGGACCCUCUGAACUGCCCAGAACACCUGAUUCCCUUGGCAGCAGGUAUGUGCUCCCCAAGGGAACCAGCUCACUCUCCUACUCACAACCACCCUGAUUGCCUCAGCAGCAGGUAUGUGCUUCCUGAGGGGACCAG